GACGAACGCUGGCGGCGUGCUUAACACAUGCAAGUCGAACGGAAAGGCCCUGCUUUUGUGGGGUGCUCGAGUGGCGAACGGGUGAGUAACACGUGAGUAACCUGCCCUUGACUUUGGGGUAACUUCAGGAAACUGCGGCUAAUACCGGAUAUGAGCUCCUGCUGCAUGGGGGGGGAUGGUAAGUUUCGGCGGUUUGGGCUGGACUCGCGGCAUCUCCGCUUGUUGGGUGGGUAGUGGCGUACCAAGCCUUUGACGGGUAGCCGGCCUGAGAGGGUGACCGGCCACAUUGGGACUACGAGACGGCCCAGACUCCUACGGGAGGCAGCAGUGGGGAAUAUUGCGCAAUGGGCGGAAGCCUGAUGCGGCAACGCCGCGUGCGGGAUGACGGCCUUCGGGUUGUAAACCGCUGUCGCCUGAGACGAAGCGUGAGUGACGGUAAUGGGUAAAGAAGCACCGGCUAACUACGUG
RNAcentral lists this ribosomal RNA (468 nucleotides) under uncultured bacterium. RNAcentral describes it as "partial 16S ribosomal RNA". It matches the Rfam family "Bacterial small subunit ribosomal RNA", at positions 28 to 507 of the family's 1533-position model. The record is from RNAcentral.